CUUGUUCGACCACCUUCUCUCUCUAUCCUUCAUUUUUUUCUCGCUUCUCCCUCACCAAGGCCUCCCCUCUCUUCUUUCUCUCCCCUUUCCCUCUUCUUUCCUCUUCACUGCCGCCCCACCGCCACCAAAAUACCGCCGCUGCCAGCCCCAAACCACCACCAAAUCUCUAACUUCAUUUUACCUAAACUUUCCAUUAUUAAUCCAAUGCAAAAAGAGCAUUGAAUAAAGACAGGAACUAGAAAAAAAAAUUGUGAAACACAUUUCUAUAAUCCUUUUUUUUUUGUCCUAUGUUAUGUACCUUUGGUAAGUUCCUCUAACCAAAGUGAAAAGAGAUUAAAUUUUUUUUGAAUUAUAUUGUCAAUAAACAGAUUUCUUGAAAAUGGGGUUGAAAUAUUGAAUAAUAUUGUUCAAAUUUUGUUUUUUAUUUCACGAAAUUUCUGCAGAAAAUAGCAUAGUGGAACUUUUGUAUUGGUAGCCAUUUCUUAUAAUAUUCUUUGUAGUUACCAGCUUUACAAUUCUUAUAAUGUAAAACCUCAAAUUGGUUCUUUUAGAUGGAUUUGUUUUUCUUAAUUUUGGUCAAAAAGUCCACAUGGGUUAUCUUAUUUUCAUAAGAAUUUUGAGUUUAGAAGAAGUAAUUUUGUUAUUAUGAAGGCUUCAGAUUCAACUACUAGCAGAAAACAAGUAGAGAAAAAUAUUUUAUUUACUCGUCUGGAUAUUUGAGGUCAUUUCGUUAUAAAAAGAUGAAUUUAAUUUUAUAAAAUUAUUUUAUAUUAUUAAAUUAUUUUAUUAUUAUUAAAUUAUUAUGUUGCUUUAAUUAUUGUGUUACUUUAAUUAUUAUAUUACUUUAAUUAUUGUGUUGCUUUAAUCAUUAUAUUGCUUUGAUUAUUAUGUUGCUUUAAUUAUUUAUUAUUAUUAGUGCUAUCUUUAUUUUUUUUGACAUAUCUCAUACAAUUGCUUAAUUAUCACUGUUAUCUUAUUGAUGACUAAUUUCAUGCAUUUUUAUGCCUAUAAUAAAAUUAAAAAAAAUAAAUUUAACCAAUAAUUAAAUUCUCCGUCAAUUUUCAAGGCUUCUGUAAAUAAAAGACGGAUAUUACGUAUAUAAAUAUUAAUAAAAAAUAAAUAUUUGGGCAAUGACGAAAUUAUUAUAACUUUUUUUUGAAAAUUUUAUCUGAGCCCACUUUUUAAUAAAAAUUAUAUUUUUUUAAAUACAUAUGUGUGCACAUAUCUUUUUAUUAUUUAUUCGUUACUAACAUUUUUAUUAUAAGUUUUUGUACAGAUUCUCGGACAAACAUUUCCGGAAAUGAUAUUCAAAGGAGCUUAAUCUUUUAUAUAUCUGUAUUUUCUUUUAUUCUUAUCAUAGUAAAAUCUUUAUUUUAAGUGUUGGGUGGGAUAUCUUUACUUACGUAAUUAUUAACACGUGUUUAGACAAAUUUAGGUCGUU
Molecule: long non-coding RNA, 1441 nt
Filed under: Capsicum annuum
Lineage: Eukaryota; Viridiplantae; Streptophyta; Magnoliopsida; Solanales; Solanaceae
Description: long non-coding RNA (CANN_LNC009508)
Source: RNAcentral